RNAcentral lists this ribosomal RNA (253 nucleotides) under uncultured bacterium. Its description in RNAcentral is "partial 16S ribosomal RNA". It matches the Rfam family "Bacterial small subunit ribosomal RNA", at positions 524 to 776 of the family's 1533-position model. The record is from RNAcentral.
UACGGAGGGUGCAAACGUUGCUCGGAAUCAUUGGGCGUAAAGCGCACGUAGGCGGUCCGUUAUGUCGGGUGUGAAAGCCCUCGGCUUAACCGAGGAAGUGCAUUCGAAACUGGCGGACUUGAGUACCGGAGAGGGUCGCGGAAUUCCCGGUGUAGAGGUGAAAUUCGUAGAUAUCAGGAGGAACACCGGUGGCGAAGGCGGUGGUCUGGGCCGGAACUGACGCUGAGGAGCGAAAGCGUGGGGAGCGAACAGG